CGGAUAAUACGUAGAAGAAAAAAAAAUCUGAAAAACUCUGUGUGGGAUUUUGGAACUCUCUCCCUCAUCUCAACUCCACCUUGAGUUGAAACAGAAGGAAAAGGAAAAAACUGAAAUUAAAUUCCUCAGAAAAUAUCUUCAAAAAUGGCGAAAUCCUUAAUAUAUUCACCGUUUCUGAGUAAUUCACUACCUUCUGUUUCUCGUCAUCAUAGUAGUAACCACCACAUAUUUCCUUUAUCCACUACAACACCUAGUCGCAAAUUCAACAGAAUCAAAUUCAGCUUACAAGAAAUUCCCCCAAUUCAUUCUGUUGAUUUUCAGGAAAUUUAUAAUAGAGCUGAAGGAUUAUUAUAUACACUUGCUGAUGCAGCUGUUGUUGCUGCUGAUUCAGCUACAACUAGUGUAGAUGCUUCUGGUUCUACUGAUGUUGCUGUUCAGAAAAGUGGUGGUUGGUUUGCUUUCAUUUCAGAUGCUAUGGAAGUUGUUCUCAAGGUCUUGAAGGAUGGACUGACAGCUGUACAUGUUCCCUACUCAUAUGGGUUUGCGAUUAUCUUGCUCACUGUACUUGUUAAGGCAGUCACUCUUCCAUUGACGAAGCAGCAGGUUGAGUCAACAUUGGCGAUGCAAAAUCUUCAGCCCAAGAUCAAAGCUAUUCAAGCAAGAUAUGCGGGCAAUCAGGAAAGAAUACAACUUGAGACAUCUCGCCUUUACAAGCAAGCUGGGGUUAAUCCACUGGCAGGGUGUUUCCCAACUUUGGCUACAAUACCGGUCUUUAUUGGGUUAUAUCAAGCUCUUUCAAAUGUUGCAAAUGAGGGAUUGCUGACUGAAGGAUUUUUUUGGAUUCCAUCUUUGGGGGGCCCUACCAGUAUUGCUGCUAGACAAAGUGGAUCUGGCAUUUCGUGGCUUUUUCCAUUUGUGGAUGGACAUCCACCAUUGGGCUGGUCCGAUACUGCAGCUUACCUGGUUUUACCCGUCCUCCUAGUCGCUUCUCAGUUUGUUUCUAUGGAGAUCAUGAAGCCUCCACAGUCGGACGAUCCCAAUAUGAAGAACACACAACUUAUUUUCAAGUUUCUUCCCCUUAUGAUUGGUUACUUCUCUUUAUCCGUUCCAUCAGGGUUGUCAAUUUACUGGUUUACGAACAACAUCCUCUCCACUGCACAACAAGUGUGGUUACGUAAGUUAGGUGGUGCAAAGCCUGCUGUAAGUGAGAAUGCAAGCGGAAUCAUUAGUGCAGGUCAAGCAAAAAGAUCGACAUCUCAACCAUCACGAGCCGGUGAAAGGUUUCGACAGCUGAAAGAAGAAGAGAAGAAAAAAGUGAACAAAGCUCUGCUAUCCGAGGACAAUCAAGUUCUGGACUCUGUGUCUGAUGCUGAUGACGUCUCUGACGAAGAGACAGACAGCAAGGAUGCUCUAGAAGAGGCAUUAGCUUCUAGUGGCAGUACACAGAUUCCCGAUUAUUCAGGUCCAAAGAAGAGCAAGCGAUCAAAGAGGAAGCGUACUGUGUGAACAAGUCAUGUAUGGUAUCUCUUCUUGUAGCUACUGGUUUGACCUUGAAAUCAACUAAUUAGACAGAAGAUGAACAUAUUAGAAGUUUUGAGUCAGAAUUUUAAUCUUAUUUCAACUCAGAUGAGUAGUAGCUGCAAAGAGUGAAAGUUAGGUAGCUUGCCUGAUUUUGUAGCUUGAGCAAGAAAGGGAGUUGUGAAGUAAUAACAUGGUGAAACUGCAAGGAGGAGGGUUGCCAGGAUAAGCUAUAUGGUUCAUGAGCUUUAUGGUCGUCAGGAUCCGGCUCCCCGUGGAAGUUAGACAAUAUUUAUGAAAGACAUUUUAAAUCAUGAAAUCCUCAUAUUUUCCUCGUCGCAAUUAUGAUCUUCCGUCUGCUCGGUGUACUAAUCGAUACUCUAUCUACAGUAUUAUGUAUAUCUAGUCUAAGCAAAAGAUGGUUCACAAAUAUCAUCUAGGCCUUGAGUUUCA
Molecule: RNA transcript, 1971 nt
Organism: Papaver somniferum (opium poppy)
Lineage: Eukaryota; Viridiplantae; Streptophyta; Magnoliopsida; Ranunculales; Papaveraceae
Gene name: inner membrane protein PPF-1, chloroplastic-like
Exons: 13
Source: RefSeq, a predicted model, not a curated record